Molecule: ribosomal RNA, 497 nt
Filed under: uncultured bacterium
Lineage: Bacteria
Description: partial 16S ribosomal RNA
Rfam family: Bacterial small subunit ribosomal RNA
Source: RNAcentral
GACGAACGCUGGCGGCGUGCCUAAUACAUGCAAGUUGAGCGAUGAAGAUUGGUGCUUGCACCAAUUUGAAGAGCAGCGAACGGGUGAGUAACGCGUGGGGAAUCUGCCUUUGAGCGGGGGACAACAUUGGGAAACGAAUGCUAAUACCGCAUAACAACUUUAAACAUAAGUUUUAAGUUUGAAAGAUGCAAUUGCAUCACUCAAAGAUGAUCCCGCGUUGUAUUAGCUAGUUGGUGAGGUAAAGGCUCACCAAGGCGAUGAUACAUAGCCGACCUGAGAGGGUGAUCGGCCACAUUGGGACUGAGACACGGCCCAAACUCCUACGGGAGGCAGCAGUAGGGAAUCUUCGGCCAUGGACGAAAGUCUGACCGAGCAACGCCGCGUGAGUGAAGAAGGUUUUCGGAUCGUAAAACUCUGUUGGUAGAGAAGAACGUUGGUGAGAGUGGAAAGCUCAUCAAGUGACGGUAACUACCCAGAAAGCGACGGCUAACUACGUG